CACUGUCUCAGCCCUCGCCCCUAUGGAAACCCUAAAUCGCUAAUCUCACUCUGGCCUCUAGUCUCUGCCUCUCCCUCUCGCUCUCAGUCUCAGUACUCGCCGAAGUCGGAGUCGUCGCCUCAGGCAAGCCUCACCGCUCGUCUAUUCUCAACCAGUGAAGCCGGCCUCAUCGAGUUGCGGCUCAUCUUCUCAGUUCUCAGACCUCGCCGAAGCUUGGAGUCGUCUUUCGCCGCUCGUCUUUACCCGAGCACGCCCUCAAAUCUCUGAGUCUCAUAGAUUCACUGUUCGCUCGCGGCUCGCCCCCAACGCCUCAAAUCAAAACCUUUCAUUCUUUCAAAGAUGGAUUUUGCUCCAUUCAAACAAUGGUACCUUCAGCACUAUGGCAUUGAUAUUGGUAGGAAGAAGAAGCCGGUUGUUGCUAAGAAGGAAACAAAUGAGGGCUGAACUGAUGAAGAAAACAAAUGGACAAUGUUUCCCGAAAGAUGUAUGUCGUAGAUUUGACUUAAUUAUUUCAAGGUAUCAACUCGGAUAAAUUAUAUGUAUAUUCGGUCUACUGUUGUAAGCUUCCUUUUUCUUCACUUUUGGUUGUUAUAAAAAAUUUUGGUAUCACAACUUUUCUCAUAUAUGAGAUCA
This is a long non-coding RNA of Ipomoea triloba (trilobed morning glory), 633 nucleotides long. RefSeq lists it as uncharacterized. The transcript has 3 exons. The record is from RefSeq and is a predicted model, not a curated record. Lineage: Eukaryota; Viridiplantae; Streptophyta; Magnoliopsida; Solanales; Convolvulaceae.